Molecule: ribosomal RNA, 450 nt
Filed under: uncultured bacterium
Lineage: Bacteria
Description: partial 16S ribosomal RNA
Rfam family: Bacterial small subunit ribosomal RNA
Source: RNAcentral
GUGGGGAAUUUUGGACAAUGGGCGCAACCCUGAUCCAGCCAUCCCGCGUGUGCGAUGAAGGCCUUCGGGUUGUAAAGCACUUUUGGCAGGAAAGAAAUCGCACGGGAUAAUACCUCGUGUGGAUGACGGUACCUGCAGAAUAAGCACCGGCUAACUACGUGCCAGCAGCCGCGGUAAUACGUAGGGUGCAAGCGUUAAUCGGAAUUACUGGGCGUAAAGCGUGCGCAGGCGGUUCGGAAAGAAAGAUGUGAAAUCCCAGGGCUUAACCUUGGAACUGCAUUUUUAACUACCGGGCUAGAGUGUGUCAGAGGGGGGUGGAAUUCCGCGUGUAGCAGUGAAAUGCGUAGAUAUGCGGAGGAACACCGAUGGCGAAGGCAGCCCCCUGGGAUAACACUGACGCUCAUGCACGAAAGCGUGGGGAGCAAACAGGAUUAGAUACCCUAGUAGUCC